ACUGACCUGUCAGACGGUAAAGAAUCUGCUUGCAAUGCAGGAGACCUGGGUUCAAUCCCUGUGUCAGGA
RNAcentral lists this transfer RNA (69 nucleotides) under Bos taurus (domestic cattle). It matches the Rfam family "tRNA". Rfam says of the family: Transfer RNA (tRNA) molecules are approximately 80 nucleotides in length. Their secondary structure includes four short double-helical elements and three loops (D, anti-codon, and T loops). Further hydrogen bonds mediate the characteristic L-shaped molecular structure. tRNAs have two regions of fundamental functional importance: the anti-codon, which is responsible for specific mRNA codon recognition, and the 3' end, to which the tRNAs corresponding amino acid is attached (by aminoacyl-tRNA synthetases). tRNAs cope with the degeneracy of the genetic code in two manners: having more than one tRNA (with a specific anti-codon) for a particular amino acid; and 'wobble' base-pairing, i.e. permitting non-standard base-pairing at the 3rd anti-codon position. RNAcentral also lists the same sequence under 4 other names. The record is from Rfam by way of RNAcentral. Lineage: Eukaryota; Metazoa; Chordata; Mammalia; Artiodactyla; Bovidae.